CCGAAAGCCUAGAUCUUGCUUGAUUAAUGUAGCCUUUGAGAUUCUCAGCUUCUUGGCAGUGUGUCCCUAAAGAUUCUCUUUCUUCUCCAAGAUACAGAGGAGUAAACAGGUAACUGAAGUAACACAUUCUCAAGAAGUCAAGCUCCAAGGGGCUGCUGGGUGUAAAUAUAGCUGUUCUGCUCUGCCGUGCGGCUGAGGACUGCAGAGCUGGAUCGCGAUCAUAGACGCGUGCGUGCUUCUGGUGCCAACGGACAACGGGUGGUGGCCCCUGUCUGCCUAAUGCCUGGGAUGAUGUUACUGAACACGGGAUUGCACGUUUCCAUGCAAGGACUACGGAGUGCCCGCAGACCUGCCAGGCUGUCGGUAAUGAACCCAGGACUGAGUUGUCUGCUGAGAAUGAUUAGGGCUGUCCUUACGGCUGCCCGAGAGACUCGGACCACUGUCAAAUUCUGGAAAAACUUAAAUGAAUAUGAUCCAUCUCAGUGUUGACAAAACAUCGGGUCAGUGGCCAGGAUACUGAGCUAGACCUUUGCUUCAUCUGUGGCAUGUGGUUGGGCUGUUGGACACAAAAAUCCAGUGCAGGAUCUGCUCUACAGGGAUGAAGAAGAUAUUCUUGAUGUGUUAAAGGUCUAAGGAGGGAGGAAUUAAGCCAUGCUGGUUGCUGCUGGGACUCUCAUAGAAAUAAAAGUUAAACAGAAAAGUCUCCCUAAGAUUCG
This 716-nucleotide long non-coding RNA is filed under the name Apteryx owenii (little spotted kiwi). RNAcentral describes it as "lncRNA (ENSAOWG00000015165.1)". The record is from RNAcentral. Lineage: Eukaryota; Metazoa; Chordata; Aves; Apterygiformes; Apterygidae.